RNAcentral lists this ribosomal RNA (1272 nucleotides) under Sphingobacterium multivorum. RNAcentral describes it as "16S ribosomal RNA". It matches the Rfam family "Bacterial small subunit ribosomal RNA", at positions 97 to 1371 of the family's 1533-position model. The record is from RNAcentral. Lineage: Bacteria; Pseudomonadati; Bacteroidota; Sphingobacteriia; Sphingobacteriales; Sphingobacteriaceae.
GGCGCACGGGUGCGUAACNCGUGAGCAACCUACCUCUAUCAGGGGGAUAGCCUCUCGAAAGAGAGAUUAACACCGCAUAACAUCAACNNNNNGCAUGUUCGGUUGAUUAAAUAUUUAUAGGAUAGAGAUGGGCUCGCGUGACAUUAGCUAGUUGGUAGGGUAACGGCCUACCAAGGCNACGAUGUCUAGGGGCUCUGAGAGGAGAAUCCCNNACACUGGUACUGAGACACGGACCAGNCUCCUACGGGAGGCAGCANUAAGGAAUAUUGGUCAAUGGGCGGAAGCCUGAACCAGCCAUGCCGCGUGCAGGAUGACUGCCCUAUGGGUUGUAAACUGCUUUUGUCCAGGAAUAAACCUAAAUACGUGUAUUUAGCUGAAUGUACUGGAAGAAUAAGGAUCGGCUAACUCCGUGCCAGCNNNNNCGGUNAUACGGAGNAUCCUAGCGUUAUCCGGAUUUAUUGGGUUUAAAGGGUGCGUAGGCGGCCUAUUAAGUCAGGGGUGAAAUNCGGUGGCUNNACCAUCGCAGUGCCUUUGAUACUGAUGGGCUUGAAUCCUUUGAACGUGGGCGGAAUAAGACAAGUAGCGGUGAAAUGCAUAGAUAUGUCUUAGAACUCCGAUUGCGAAGGCAGCUCACUAAGCUGGUAUUGACGCUGAUGCACUAAAGCGUGGGGAUCGAACAGGAUUAGAUACCCUGGUAGUCCACGCCCUAANCGAUGAUAACUCGAUGUUGGCGAUNGACANCCAGCNUCCCAGCGAAAGCGUUAAGUUAUCCACCUGGGGAGUACGCCCGCAAGGGUNAAACUCAAAGGAAUUGACGGGNNCCCGCACAAGCGGAGGAGCAUGUGGUUUAAUUCGAUGAUACGCGAGGAACCUUACCCGGGCUUGAAAGUUAGUGAAGAGUGCAGAGACGCACUNNUCCUUCGGGACACGAAACUAGGUNCUGCAUGGCUGUCGUCAGCUCGUGCNGUGAGGUGUUGGGUUAAGUCCCCCAACGANCCCNACCCCNANGUUUAGNUUCCAACANGUUANGGUGGGGACUCUAAACAGACUGCCUGUGCAAACAGAGAGGAAGGUGGGGACGACGUCAAGUCAUCAUGGCCCUUACGUCCGGGGCUACACACGUGCUACAAUGGAUGGUACAGCGGGCAGCUACAUAGCAAUAUGAUGCUAAUCUCUAAAAGCCAUUCACAGUUCGGAUUGGGGUCUGCNACUNGACCCCAUGAAGUUGGAUUCGCUAGUAAUCGCGUAUCAGCAAUGACGCGGUGAAUACGU